CCUACGGGAGGCAGCAGUGGGGAAUAUUGGACAAUGGGCGAAAGCCUGAUCCAGCCAUGCCGCGUGUGUGAAGAAGGCCUUCGGGUUGUAAAGCACUUUCAGUGGGGAAGAAAGCCUUGGGGCUAAUACCCUCGAGGAAGGACAUCACCCACAGAAGAAGCACCGGCUAACUCCGUGCCAGCAGCCGCGGUAAUACGGAGGGUGCGAGCGUUAAUCGGAAUUACUGGGCGUAAAGCGCGCGUAGGCGGUCUGAUAAGCCGGUUGUGAAAGCCCCGGGCUCAACCUGGGAACGGCAUCCGGAACUGUCAGGCUAGAGUGAAGGAGAGGAAGGUAGAAUUCCCGGUGUAGCGGUGAAAGGCGUAGAGAUCGGGAGGAAUACCAGUGGCGAAGGCGGCCUUCUGGACUGACACUGACGCUGAGGUGCGAAAGCGUGGGUAGCAAACAGGAUUAGAUACCCCAGUAGUC
RNAcentral lists this ribosomal RNA (465 nucleotides) under Vreelandella stevensii. RNAcentral describes it as "partial 16S ribosomal RNA". It matches the Rfam family "Bacterial small subunit ribosomal RNA", at positions 338 to 795 of the family's 1533-position model. Lineage: Bacteria; Pseudomonadati; Pseudomonadota; Gammaproteobacteria; Oceanospirillales; Halomonadaceae. The record is from RNAcentral.